This 2500-nucleotide long non-coding RNA is filed under the name Homo sapiens (human). RNAcentral's name for it is "HSALNT0003487". Lineage: Eukaryota; Metazoa; Chordata; Mammalia; Primates; Hominidae. The record is from RNAcentral.
GGGACUACAGGCAUGCACCACUGUGCCCAGCCCUCCCCUUCAUAGCUGUCUCUUUGCCUUACAAAUUCUGUUAAAGUUGUGAGAGCUGAGCACACUUUGCUCACUGUGAUUGUGGGUUUUGCCACUGAAAAUGGCAGUCCCACGCAGGAGAGACACAGGAUGCUUUCCUCCCCCGAUACAUGGGGCAAAUGGCUCUCUGCUCCCUGAGUGGAGGGCAGCAGUUUUGGGGAUUUUUGUACUCCUCUAGCUCAGCUCCAUUUGAAACUCAGCCUGUUGAUGUUCUCUGGGAUCUAGGGCCAAGCUCUCUAGCAUCUGACCUUGUCCUGCGACCUUCCACCUGCACUUGCUGUCACUCUGAGUUUUUUGUUCUCACCAGCAUUUGCUGAAGCAUCAUCCUUGUUUAUCUGCCCUGCCUGGGCCUUUUAACACAGGUGAACUCACCUUUGUAUAACAUGCGAUGGUUAAGAGCAGGCUCUGGAGUCAGGCUGUGUGGGUUCAAAUCUCAGCUACACUGUUUACUGGUGUGCUCUUGGGCAAAUUACUUAACCAGUUUUGGCCUGUUUCCUCGUCUGUAGAAUGGAUAUAUAAAAUGAUAGGAAGAUCAGAGAAAAUACUUGUGCUGGGAUCCGAAGGAAGAGGGGAAGAAGAGAGAAGGAAGGGAAUCACAGACAGAAGCAAAUAGCGUGUGCAAAGCCCUGUAGCAGCAAGAAGAGGCAGGGAGACUUGAGAGAAGGCCCAGGACUGCAAAGAGGCGACAGCUUGGCUCGCUCAGCCUCUUUUGUUGUGUGUCUUCCUGUACUAGAGAGACUCAGAAGCUAGAUGUCUCUGAAGCCAAGGGUGCAGGUCAGAUGCGACUUAGGCUCUACCAAUCAGAUGUACCAUGGAUGUUAAUGUUCUAAGUCAGGGGCCAUGUUUCUCUGGUCUUUGGACAAGCAGAGUCAAGGAGGUAUUUGUUUUUCCACAGCAGCUGUUGCAGAGGGCUCAGCGUCUAGAUCCAUGUGUUGUGAUUGUAGGGGAAGAGCUUGGGUCACCCAUUCUGCGGCAUGGGUCAGGGUAGAGUACUGUCCUUCCUGGAGCCGGCAGGGGUGGUGGCCACCUGAUUUCCCAGCUUCUUGAUUAUGGUGGUGGCUGCAGCUCCCCUGGCAGGCCAGUUCUGCAGUGUUCUUCUGGGGAUCAUUUCUGGAAGCUCAGCCUAGAGUCAGCCUCUCCAACCCUCCCAACACUGGUGUAAGUACCUUUCCCUUGUAUUAAAUUCCUUUCUUCCUAAACAAGCUGCUGCAGUUCCUGUGAUCUGAAACGGAGACUGACUGUGGUGUAUUAAAGCGAAACAUAAAGUUUUCCCAUUGAGAAAUGAAGCUUAUUUUGCCUCCCUUCAAUUGGCACCAGCCCUGUGACUGCUUAACCAAAAAGAAAGUGGUGGAACUGAUGCUCGUCAAUUCUAGGCCUAGCCUGGAAAUUAAGAGCUACUGGAAUGCUCACUCUUGAGACACUCUGUCUCAGAACCCAGCUGGCAUGCUGUGAGAAGCCCCAGCCACAUGGAGGGCUGCAUGUUGGCACUCCAGGCAACAGCCCCAGUUGAACUCCCAGGCAACAGCCAUCAUCAACCAUCAGACAUGCCCGGCAGAGUCCAUCUCCUGGGCCAGACCCACUUCGGCUGUCCUUCUGUGUCUGCCACCCUCCCCCACCCCAGACACCUGGAGCCCAUCAGAGUGCCUGGCACCACAGCAGCUGCAUGUGCCCAUAGAGGGGACAGCCUCUCUCACCCCUGCGCCUCAGACCUCACCAGUGUUUCCAUCAGACACAGUAACUGGGCGCAGGGAAGGCAAAGAAGGGAAGGGAAGCACUCUGCUGUCAUCAGCUCCGCCUCACCUCGGUAUCUGCAGAUAAUCACUGAGCCAUUGGGGGUUCUGCAGCAUAAACUGGGUUACUUUCAUCUUUCCCCAUUGGUAAUUUAGGGUUCAGCGUUCUUUAUUUUUAUUUAUUUAUUUUUUUGAGACAGAGUCUCACCCUGUGGUCCAGGCUGGAGUGCAGUGGCAUGAUUUUGGCUCACUGCAACCUCCGCCUCUCGGGUUCAAGCGAUUCUCUUGCCUCAGCCUCCUGAGUAGCUGGGAUUAUAGGCACAUGCCACCACGCCCAGCUAAUUUUUAUAUUUUUAGUAGAGGCAGGGUUUCACUAUGUUGGCCAGGCUGGUCUCAAACUCCUGGCCUCGAGUGAUCCACCUGCCUCGGCCUCCCAAAGCGUUGGGAUUACAGGUGUGAGCCACUGCACCCGGUGGGUUCAGGGUUCUUGCUUCUGCUAAGUUAUAGGCCAUCGAUCUGCUUUUCUCUCUUCCAAAUUUUUCUAAUGUCAUCUCCUCUUUUGUGAUAAUUAUCCUCAUGAUUUUAUGUCUUUAAAAAAUAAUCCCCUCUCCCUCUCCCUCUCCCUCUCCCUCUCCCCACGGUCUCCCUCUCCCUCUCUUUCCACGGUCUCCCUCUGAUGCCGAGCCGAAGCUGGACUGUAC